CUUAAUUGCAAAUCCUCUCUGCAGAGCUAAAGGCCAUGGUGGAACUCUCCGAAGCUGGCAGGAAACAUCCCUUGCCUCAGACAGGAUCAUCCUAAUUAAUAAUAAUCACAAUAAUAUUGUGCUUUGCAUUUUAUCCAGGGACACCUGAACAGCCGAAUGCUUUAUGAACACUAUUUAAUUAAGCCUUAUGACAAUCCCGUGAGGAGAACCUGGAAACUGAAAGAUUGGUUUAAUCUCUGCAUAGCCACAAGAACGAGACUCAAUUAAGUAAAGCAAAUGAUCACAUUCAUUGUCAAUGCCAAGCCCACCUGGUUCCAUCCUAUCAAAGUGGUCAGAGACUCAAGGUCUAGCUGGAGAAAGCUAUUCCAGAUUCAUCCAGGGCAAUUCCACUCUUGCCCAAGAGGCUGUCCUAUCAGAUCAUAGAGCCAUCAAGCAAAGCCUCACAUGCAUAGGCCCAGAUGGAAGGGCAUCCCAGACUGGAAGGCCUGAUAGGAAUUUGCUCUGGCCUAGCUGGAAGCUGUAGGUGUUCAUCACGUAGGCACACAUUGGAAUGGAGGAUACACUCUACAAAGGCUUCUAAUUGGUAAGUUGGAAGGGAAUCCACUUGAUAAAGGAGAGGCAAGUUGGUGGGGGCUCUCUUGCCUGAAAUGCCUCAGAAAGGUCUUGAAGGGAAGCCCAGGUGGCUCAGUGGUUU
RNAcentral lists this long non-coding RNA (694 nucleotides) under Vulpes vulpes (red fox). RNAcentral describes it as "lncRNA (ENSVVUG00000029353.1)". The record is from RNAcentral. Lineage: Eukaryota; Metazoa; Chordata; Mammalia; Carnivora; Canidae.